Molecule: RNA transcript, 2312 nt
Organism: Hemiscyllium ocellatum (epaulette shark)
Lineage: Eukaryota; Metazoa; Chordata; Chondrichthyes; Orectolobiformes; Hemiscylliidae
Gene name: FACT complex subunit SSRP1-like
Exons: 13
Source: RefSeq, a predicted model, not a curated record
UCCGAUAACCAUUGGUUGCCGCUUAAAACGUCCCCGCCCUCAACCUGGGCUCUCUGCUCGUAUUGGCUGGCGCCGGCUUGGCUCGCCCACCAUCGACCUCUGUGAUGCUAUUGGCAGGCGGCCGGGGUCGUGCCCCGUUGCGCGUGAACAUGGAGCUGCAAUUGGAGGAGGUGGAGGCAGGAGCCGGGCGACCGCAGGCCCCGCUGCGGACUGAUUUCGCCUCGUCCCCUUUCGCUGCCGUUCAACCGAGUAGGAAAGCGGCUGUUAGGACGGAGCCGGCCACUCACAUUGCCGCCGCCGCAGGUGGAGGUGGUAGCGGCGCGGUGCCGGCCUAUUGCGGUAGCAGUGCGGGCGGGGACACGGCCACUUUCAUCGGGAGUGUGCCGGUCACCGUCUCCUUGGAGAAUUUUGAUGGUCAGCACAGAAUAGUAUGUGUGACUACAGAUGCUAAUGGAGGAACAUUGUCUUACGUGGGUCAGCUGAAUUCAGAUGUGAAUUUGGAAUUACAGGCUGCAGUAUCUCCACAGCCAUUGCUGCAGCGUGAUGGUGUGACUGCUAUUUCAACUGGCAACCCGCUGCUUCAGAUUCAUCCGUUGGAUGCAAGAUCACAGCGCCUGCAAAGUGUUAUUUUGGAGGGACAAACCGAAAGAAGUAGCAGUGCAAAGGAAGUUGAGAGUGAUGAACCCAAGAAGAGAAAAGGUGGUUGGCCAAAAGGCAAGAAAAGGAAACCUCAAAAAGAUUUUACUGCACCCCGGGCUCCUACUACAGGGUAUGUGUUAUUCCUGAAUGAACAGAGAGCCAAGCUGAAAAUUAAACAUCCAGAUCUCCCUUUUACAGAGAUUACAAAACUGCUGGGCACUCAGUGGUCACAACUGUCUCAGGAAGGCAAACAGAAGUAUAUUGAUGAAGCAGAAAAAGACAAGCAACGAUAUAUUGAGGAGCUGAAAGCAUACCAAAAUUCAGAGGCUUAUCAAGCUUUCCUGAAAAGAAGAGCAAUGAACAAAGUAAAAAACCUAUGUGGUGUGGAGUCUCUGGAUACCGAAUUUGAAAGUGAAAUGGUUGGAGUGUCAGAAAUUGGUGAUGAAGAUGACAAUGGCCUCUAUUGCAAAACAUGUAAUCAGUACUUUAGCUCUUUACAUAAUAAAAAGGAACAUCUUUUUGGAAGACAACAUCUGCAAAAUUUGACAGGAGAUUUUGAGAAAGAGGCAGCGGAGCUCUCCAAACAAGAAACGCAUUUGGGUGAUGAGGACUCAGGAGAUGAUGAUGACAGUGCAGAGCUCUCUCAGUUGUGUGCCCUGACGUCAAAGCAUAACUAUACAUCGCUUAAUCUAAGUCUUUUGGAGGAAUAUAUUUUCAAGCAGGUGAAGUUGAGAGAGUUAGAACUUGGUGAACUUGCAAAAUCUUUGGGGCAAGCAAAGGAUGAGUGUGAAAAUUUAAGUACACAGUUGGAAGCGUUGAAGAAUCAAAAGGUAAAGUUGGAAACUGAUCUUGCAAACCUGAAAGCCUAUGGAGCAUCAUUAGACGCACAACUGGACAGUUUAAAAAUGGUUCCAAUGCUCUUUCAAUUCCACAUUCAAAUAAUGGAUAAUGAAAGCAUCCAAAUUGCAACAACCUUUUGUUAAAAGUACUGUGUAUGAAGAAAAAAGAUAUGUUAACUGAUGAAGAAUGGAAACGAUUUUGAAGCAGCAGCUCAGAAAAAUGAUAGAAUGCAAUAUCUUUUACAACACGUAAGUGAAAGUAGUCUUCAUUUGUGGUUUUUCUACAAAUUUGUGAAUGUUUUUUCAUUUAAGUUAUUAGUAAUUAUGUACAGUAUAAUACAUGUACAAUGUACAUUAGUGGAAAACUACUUUGCCUCGUUUUUGAAAUUGUAGAAAUGUGAUUUUUUUUGUAAUACUUAUUUGCUGCCAGCUAUUCAAAAUGUUAAUUUUUUUGUAGAAAAUGUACAUGUGUAUCAUACCUGCUUUUUAAUGUAAAUUGGCUACUAAUUUUUGAAGCAUAUAUUAUGCUGACUUGCAAGAUUUCUUUCAGUUGGUAAUGCACAUUAUAUUGAACAUGAUUGUUCUUGGUGCCAAUGCAGAAGGCAAGAUUGCUAGUAAAUAGCCAUUGUCUAAUACAUCGGUUAGUUGGUGCUAUGUUAGUGAAACUAAUGAAUUGCACUUUCACAUAUGGGUCAUAUUGUAGAAUGUGUAUUUUUAAAUAAUGCCUAAGAAAACUAUGAAUCUGUUUUAUAGAUCUAAAGAAAUAUGUUUUGCCAUUUUAAAUGUUUACUAAAUCAUUGAGAACACAAUGUUUUCUAUAUAGUAUUGCUACAU